GACGUAGGGCGCGAGCGUUGUCCGGAUUUAUUGGGCGUAAAGAGCUCGUAGGCGGUUUGUCGCGUCGUCCGUGAAAACUCACAGCUUAACUGUGAGCUUGCGGUCGAUACGGGCAGGCUAGAAUUCGGUAGGGGAGACUGGAAUUCCUGGUGUAGCGGUGAAAUGCGCAGAUAUCAGGAGGAACACCGGUGGCGAAGGCGGGUCUCUGGGCCGAUAUUGACGCUGAGGAGCGAAAGCGUGGGGAGCGAACAGG
Molecule: ribosomal RNA, 253 nt
Filed under: uncultured bacterium
Lineage: Bacteria
Description: partial 16S ribosomal RNA
Rfam family: Bacterial small subunit ribosomal RNA
Source: RNAcentral